RNAcentral lists this transfer RNA (84 nucleotides) under Myxococcales bacterium. Its description in RNAcentral is "tRNA-Leu". It matches the Rfam family "tRNA". Rfam says of the family: Transfer RNA (tRNA) molecules are approximately 80 nucleotides in length. Their secondary structure includes four short double-helical elements and three loops (D, anti-codon, and T loops). Lineage: Bacteria; Pseudomonadati; Myxococcota; Myxococcia; Myxococcales. The record is from RNAcentral.
GCGGUCGUGGCGGAAUUGGUAGACGCGCUAGAUUCAGGUUCUAGUGAGGGAAACCUUGUGAGAGUUCGAGUCUCUCCGACCGCA